GUGGCCAGCCGCCGCGGUAAUACCGGCAGCCCGAGUGAUGGCCGAUCUUAUUGGGCCUAAAGCGUCCGUAGCUGGCCGACCAAGUCUCCCGGGAAAUCCACCCGCCCAACGGGUGGGCGUCCGACGGAAACUGCACAGCUUGGGACCGGAAGGCUCGAAGGGUACGUUCGGGGUAGGAGUGAAAUCCUAUAAUCCCGCACGGACCACCGAUGGCGAAAGCACUUCGAGAAAACGGAUCCGACAGUGAGGGACGAAAGCUCGGGUCUCAAACCGGAUUAGAAACCCCUGUAGUCC
This 294-nucleotide ribosomal RNA is filed under the name uncultured bacterium. Its description in RNAcentral is "partial 16S ribosomal RNA". It matches the Rfam family "Archaeal small subunit ribosomal RNA", at positions 455 to 747 of the family's 1478-position model. The record is from RNAcentral.